This 490-nucleotide ribosomal RNA is filed under the name uncultured bacterium. Its description in RNAcentral is "partial 16S ribosomal RNA". It matches the Rfam family "Bacterial small subunit ribosomal RNA", at positions 28 to 507 of the family's 1533-position model. The record is from RNAcentral.
GAUGAACGCUAGCUACAGGCUUAACACAUGCAAGUCGAGGGGAAACGAUGAGAGAGCUUGCUCUCUUAGGCGUCGACCGGCGCACGGGUGAGUAACGCGUAUCCAACCUACCCAUUACAGGGGGAUAACCUUGCGAAAGUAAGACUAAUACCCCAUGGCAUUUUAUGGUGGCAUCAUUAUAGGAUUAAAGAUUUAUUGGUAAUGGAUGGGGAUGCGUCUGAUUAGCUUGUUGGCGGGGUAACGGCCCACCAAGGCAACGAUCAGUAGGGGUUCUGAGAGGAAGGUCCCCCACAUUGGAACUGAGACACGGUCCAAACUCCUACGGGAGGCAGCAGUGAGGAAUAUGGGUCAAUGGGCGAGAGCUUGAACCAGCCAAGUAGCGUGCAGGAUGACGGCCCUAUGGGUUGUAAACUGCUUUUAUAGGGGAAUAAAGUGAGCUACGUGUAGUUUAUUGCAUGUACCCUAUGAAUAAGGACCGGCUAAUUCCGUG